Molecule: ribosomal RNA, 454 nt
Filed under: uncultured Porphyromonadaceae bacterium
Lineage: Bacteria; Pseudomonadati; Bacteroidota; Bacteroidia; Bacteroidales; Porphyromonadaceae
Description: partial 16S ribosomal RNA
Rfam family: Bacterial small subunit ribosomal RNA
Source: RNAcentral
ACGGGAGGCAGCAGUGAGGAAUAUUGGUCAAUGGACGGAAGUCUGAACCAGCCAAGUCGCGUGAAGGAUGAAGGUUCUAUGGAUUGUAAACUUCUUUUGCAUGAGGGUAAAGUGACCUACGUGUAGGUUAUUGCAAGUAUCAUGUGAAUAAGCAUCGGCUAACUCCGUGCCAGCAGCCGCGGUAAUACGGAGGAUGCGAGCGUUAUCCGGAUUUAUUGGGUUUAAAGGGUGUGUAGGCGGGCUGUUAAGUCAGCGGUGAAAGUUUGCGGCUCAACCGUAAAAUUGCCGUUGAAACUGGCGGUCUUGAGUGUAAACGAGGUAGGCGGAAUGUGAUGUGUAGCGGUGAAAUGCUUAGAUAUGUCACAGAACUCCGAUUGCGAAGGCAGCUUACCAGGAUACAACUGACGCUGAGGCACGAAAGCGUGGGUAUCAAACAGGAUUAGAUACCCUGGUA